GAUGAACGCUGGCGGCGUGCCUAAUACAUGCAAGUCGAGCGAACGGACGAGAAGCUUGCUUCUCUGAUGUUAGCGGCGGACGGGUGAGUAACACGUGGAUAACCUACCUAUAAGACUGGGAUAGCUUCGGGAAACCGGAACUAAUACCGGAUGAUAUUUUGAACCGCAUGGUUCAAAAGUGAAAGACGGUCUUGCUGUCACUUAUAGAUGGAUCCGCGCUGCAUUAGCUAGUUGGUAAGGUAACGGCUUACCAAGGCAACGAUGCAUAGCCGACCUGAGAGGGUGAUCGGCCACACUGGAACUGAGACACGGUCCAGACUCCUACGGGAGGCAGCAGUAGGGAAUCUUCCGCAAUGGGCGAAAGCCUGACGGAGCAACGCCGCGUGAGUGAUGAAGGUCUUCGGAUCGUAAAACUCUGUUAUUAGGGAAGAACAUAUGUGUAAGUAACUGUGCACAUCUUGACGGUACCUAAUCAGAAAGCCACGGCUAACUACGUG
RNAcentral lists this ribosomal RNA (497 nucleotides) under uncultured bacterium. RNAcentral describes it as "partial 16S ribosomal RNA". It matches the Rfam family "Bacterial small subunit ribosomal RNA", at positions 28 to 507 of the family's 1533-position model. The record is from RNAcentral.